GCCACAAUAGCACAGUUGGUAGUGCAUCUGAUUCGUAAUCAGAAGGUCACCAGUUCGAGUCUGGUUUGUGGCCCGA
Molecule: transfer RNA, 76 nt
Filed under: Oribacterium sp. oral taxon 078 str. F0262
Lineage: Bacteria; Bacillati; Bacillota; Clostridia; Lachnospirales; Lachnospiraceae
Also listed under: 1 other name
Description: tRNA-Thr
Rfam family: tRNA
About the family: Transfer RNA (tRNA) molecules are approximately 80 nucleotides in length. Their secondary structure includes four short double-helical elements and three loops (D, anti-codon, and T loops). Further hydrogen bonds mediate the characteristic L-shaped molecular structure. tRNAs have two regions of fundamental functional importance: the anti-codon, which is responsible for specific mRNA codon recognition, and the 3' end, to which the tRNAs corresponding amino acid is attached (by aminoacyl-tRNA synthetases). tRNAs cope with the degeneracy of the genetic code in two manners: having more than one tRNA (with a specific anti-codon) for a particular amino acid; and 'wobble' base-pairing, i.e. permitting non-standard base-pairing at the 3rd anti-codon position.
Source: RNAcentral